CAGCCGCCGCGGGAAUACGUAGGUGGCAAGCGUUGUCCGGAAUUAUUGGGCGUAAAGGGAUCGCAGGCGGUUUCUUAAGUCUGAUGUGAAAGCCCCCGGCUCAACCGGGGAGGGUCAUUGGAAACUGGGAAACUUGAGUGCAGAAGAGGAGAGUGGAAUUCCACGUGUAGCGGUGAAAUGCGUAGAGAUGUGGAGGAACACCAGUGGCGAAGGCGACUCUCUGGUCUGUAACUGACGCUGAGGAGCGAAAGCGUGGGGAGCGAACAGGAUUAGAUACCCGCGUAGUCCCUGUCUCUUAUAC
Molecule: ribosomal RNA, 301 nt
Filed under: uncultured bacterium
Lineage: Bacteria
Description: partial 16S ribosomal RNA
Rfam family: Bacterial small subunit ribosomal RNA
Source: RNAcentral